GCCUACGGGAGGCAGCAGUGGGGAAUAUUGGGCAAUGGGCGCAAGCCUGACCCAGCAACGCCGCGUGAAGGAAGAAGGCUUUCGGGUUGUAAACUUCUUUUAAGAGGGAAGAGUAGAAGACGGUACCUCUUGAAUAAGCCACGGCUAACUACGUGCCAGCAGCCGCGGUAAUACGUAGGUGGCAAGCGUUGUCCGGAUUUACUGGGUGUAAAGGGAGCGUAGGCGGGGAUGCAAGUUGGGUGUCAAAACUACCGGCUCAACCGAUAGUCGCACUCCAAACUGCAACUCUUGAGUGAAGUAGAGGC
Molecule: ribosomal RNA, 305 nt
Filed under: uncultured bacterium
Lineage: Bacteria
Description: bacterial SSU rRNA
Rfam family: Bacterial small subunit ribosomal RNA
Source: RNAcentral